CAGUCGCCACGGGAAUACGUAGGGUGCGAGCGUUAAUCGGAAUUACUGGGCGUAAAGCGUGCGCAGGCGGUUCGUUAAGACAGAUGUGAAAUCCCCGGGCUUAACCUGGGAACUGCAUUUGUGACUGGCGAGCUAGAGUAUGGCAGAGGGGGGUAGAAAUCCACGUGUAGCAGUGAAAUGCGUAGAGAUGUGGAGGAAUACCGAUGGCGAAGGCAGCCCCCUGGGCCAAUACUGACGCUCAUGCACGAAAGCGUGGGGAGCAAACAGGAUUAGAUACCCCAGUAGUCCCUGUCUCUUAUAC
This 301-nucleotide ribosomal RNA is filed under the name uncultured bacterium. RNAcentral describes it as "partial 16S ribosomal RNA". It matches the Rfam family "Bacterial small subunit ribosomal RNA", at positions 509 to 807 of the family's 1533-position model. The record is from RNAcentral.